This 997-nucleotide ribosomal RNA is filed under the name uncultured cyanobacterium. Its description in RNAcentral is "bacterial SSU rRNA". It matches the Rfam family "Bacterial small subunit ribosomal RNA", at positions 508 to 1503 of the family's 1533-position model. The record is from RNAcentral. Lineage: Bacteria; Bacillati; Cyanobacteriota.
CCAGCCGCCGCGGUAAGACGGAGGAUGCAAGCGUUAUCCGGAAUGAUUGGGCGUAAAGCGUCCGCAGGUGGCAGUUCAAGUCUGCUGUCAAAGACCGGGGCUCAACCUCGGAAAGGCAGUGGAAACUGAACAGCUAGAGUAUGGUAGGGGCAAAGGGAAUUCCUGGUGUAGCGGUGAAAUGCGUAGAGAUCAGGAAGAACAUCGGUGGCGAAGGCGCUUUGCUGGACCAUAACUGACACUCAGGGACGAAAGCUAGGGGAGCGAAUGGGAUUAGAUACCCCAGUAGUCCUAGCCGUAAACGAUGGAUACUAGGUGUUGUCUGUAUCGACCCGGACAGUGCCGUAGCUAACGCGUUAAGUAUCCCGCCUGGGGAGUACGCAGGCAACUGUGAAACUCAAAGGAAUUGACGGGGGCCCGCACAAGCGGUGGAGUAUGUGGUUUAAUUCGAUGCAACGCGAAGAACCUUACCAGGACUUGACAUGUCGCGAAUCUUUUGGAAACAGAAGAGUGCCUUAGGGAGCGCGAACACAGGUGGUGCAUGGCUGUCGUCAGCUCGUGUCGUGAGAUGUUGGGUUAAGUCCCGCAACGAGCGCAACCCUCGUGUUUAGUUGCCAUCAUUAAGUUGGGAACUCUAAACAGACUGCCGGUGACAAACCGGAGGAAGGUGGGGAUGACGUCAAGUCAGCAUGCCCCUUACGUCCUGGGCUACACACGUACUACAAUGGUAGGGACAGAGGGCAGCCAACUCGCGAGAGUGAGCUAAUCCCGUAAACCCUGCCUCAGUUCAGAUUGCAGGCUGCAACUCGCCUGCAUGAAGGCGGAAUCGCUAGUAAUCGCAGGUCAGCAUACUGCGGUGAAUCCGUUCCCGGGCCUUGUACACACCGCCCGUCACACCAUGGAAGUUGGCCACGCCCGAAGUCAUUACUCUAACCUUUCGAGGGGGAGGAUGCCGAAGGCAGGGCUGAUGACUGGGGUGAAGUCGUAACAAGGUAACCAA